This 320-nucleotide long non-coding RNA is filed under the name Mytilus galloprovincialis (Mediterranean mussel). Lineage: Eukaryota; Metazoa; Mollusca; Bivalvia; Mytilida; Mytilidae. The record is from RNAcentral.
GGACUAGAGUCUUUUGAUUUGAGGUCCUUGGUUUAUAACCUUGAAAUUGAGCUCAAGGUCAUAUGCUAAUUAAACGUUCUAGAUUUUGACCUUUGCUUUUAUCUCAUAUGUACACAUAAUAAAGGAAACUACAAAAACUACAAAUCAUUAAUAAAAAAUAAAUGGCUUAAACGAAAACGUCAAAACAAAAGUUUAUUAUCGACAACACAGAACAAUAAAGUCCAGCAUCAUGAAACAAUCUUAGUGCUUAAGACCAUCUUCAGAUCGUCUUAUUUGCCAAGAGAGUAUCUUGAAGUAGUCUUAGAAUGAUUGACCGCCCU